This 415-nucleotide ribosomal RNA is filed under the name uncultured bacterium. RNAcentral's name for it is "bacterial SSU rRNA". It matches the Rfam family "Bacterial small subunit ribosomal RNA", at positions 917 to 1333 of the family's 1533-position model. The record is from RNAcentral.
GGACCCGCACAAGCGGUGGAGCAUGUGGUUUAAUUCGAUGCAACGCGAAAAACCUUACCUAUACUUGACAUACUUGGAAUGCUUUGUAAUGAAGCAGUGCCUUCGGGAGCCAGGAUACAGGUGCUGCAUGGCUGUCGUCAGCUCGUGUCGUGAGAUGUUCCGUUAAGUCGGAUAACGAGCGCAACCCUUACCCUUAUUUGCCAGCGAUUCGGUCGGGAACUAUAAGGGGACUGCCGGUGAUAAACCGGAGGAAGGUGAGGACGACGUCAAGUCAUCAUGGCCCUUACGUCCAGGGCUGCACGCAUGCUACAAUGGCAAGUACAACGAGUCGCAAUACCGCGAGGUGGAGCAAAUCUCUUAAAGCUUGUCUCAGUUCGGAUAGGAGUCUGCAACUCGACUCCUUGAAGUUGGAGUC